CCGGCGCACGGGUGAGUAACACGUAUGCAAUCCACCUGUAACAGGGGGAUAACCCGGAGAAAUCCGGACUAAUACCCCAUAAUAUGGGCGCUCCGCAUGGAGAGCCCAUUAAAGAGAGCAAUUUUGGUUACAGACGAGCAUGCGCUCCAUUAGCCAGUUGGCGGGGUAACGGCCCACCAAAGCGACGAUGGAUAGGGGUUCUGAGGGGAAGGUCCCCCACAUUGGAACUGAGACACGGUCCAA
This 243-nucleotide ribosomal RNA is filed under the name uncultured bacterium. Its description in RNAcentral is "partial 16S ribosomal RNA". It matches the Rfam family "Bacterial small subunit ribosomal RNA", at positions 95 to 334 of the family's 1533-position model. The record is from RNAcentral.